Molecule: ribosomal RNA, 430 nt
Filed under: uncultured Pseudomonadota bacterium
Lineage: Bacteria; Pseudomonadati; Pseudomonadota
Description: bacterial SSU rRNA
Rfam family: Bacterial small subunit ribosomal RNA
Source: RNAcentral
AAUGAACGUUGGCGGCACGCCUAAUACAUGCAAGUCGAACGCGAUCUUCGGAUCGAGUGGCGGACGGGUGAGUAAUACAUGGGAAUCUACCGAGAAGUGGGGAACAACUAUUGGAAACAGUAGCUAAUACCGCAUAAUCCACAUUGGGAAAGCUUUUGCGCUUUUCGAUGAGCCCAUGUCUGAUUAGCUAGUUGGUAAGGUAAAAGCUUACCAAGGCGACGAUCAGUAGCUGGUUUGAGAGGAUGAUCAGCCACACUGGGACUGAGACACGGCCCAGACUCCUACGGGAGGCAGCAGUAGGGAAUCUUGCGCAAUGGGCGAAAGCCUGACGCAGCGAUGCCGCGUGAGUGAUGACGGUUUUCGGACUGUAAAGCUCUUUUAUUAGGGAAGAUAAUGACGGUACCUAAAGAAAAAGUCCCGGCUAACUCCG